AUAUCAAUAAGCGGAGGAAAAGAAACCAACAGGGAUUGCCUCAGUAACGGCGAGUGAAGCGGCAACAGCUCAAAUUUGAAAUCUGGCUCCUUCGGGGUCCGAGUUGUAAUUUGUAGAGGAUGUUUCGGGUACCGCCCCGGUCUAAAUUUCUUGGAACAGAAUGUCAAAGAGGGUGAGAAUCCCGUCUUGGACCGGCGGUAGGGCCCAUGUGAAACUCCUUCGACGAGUCGAGUUGUUUGGGAAUGCAGCUCAAAAUGGGUGGUAAAUUUCAUCUAAAGCUAAAUAUUGGCCAGAGACCGAUAGCGCACAAGUAGAGUGAUCGAAAGAUGAAAAGCACUUUGAAAAGAGAGUUAAACAGUAUGUGAAAUUGUUGAAAGGGAAGCGCUGGCAACCAGACUUGCGCGCGGCGGUUCCCCCUUCCUUUUGGUUGGGUUAUUCCGCCGUGUCCAGGCCAACAUCGGUUCUGGGGGUCGGUCAAAGGCUCUGGGAAUGUAUCUACCCUUCGGGCGUAGACUUAUAGCCCAGGGUGUCAUGCGACCUCCCGGGACCGAGGAACGCGCUUCGGCUCGGAUGUUGGCGUAAUGGUUGUCAGCGACCCGUCUUGAAACACGGACCAAGGAGUCUAACAUCUAUGCGAGUGUUUGGGUGUCAAACCCGGAACGCGAAAUGAAAGUGAACGGAGGUAGGAAGCUUAGGCUGCACUAUCGACCGAUCCUGAUGUCUUCGGAUGGAUUUGAGUAAGAGCAUAGCUGUUGGGACCCGAAAGAUGGUGAACUAUGCCUGAAUAGGGUGAAGCCAGAGGAAACUCUGGUGGAGGCUCGCAGCGGUUCUGACGUGCAAAUCGAUCGUCAAAUUUAGGUAUAGGGGCGAAAGACUAAUCGAACCAUCUGGUAGCUGGUUCCUGCCGAAGUUUCCCUCAGGAUAGCAGUAACGUUUUCAGUUUUAUGAGGUAAAGCGAAUGAUUAGAGGCCUUGGGGUUGAAACAACCUUAACCUAUUCUCAAACUUUAAAUAUGUAAGAAGUCCUUGUUGCUUAAUUGAACGUGGACAUUUGAAUGUAUCGUUACUAGUGGGCCAUUUUUGGUAAGCAGAACUGGCGAUGCGGGAUGAACCGAACGUGAGGUUAAGGUGCCGGAAUGUACGCUCAUCAGACACCACAAAAGGUGUCAAUGCAUCCAGACAGCCGGACGGUGGCCAUGGAAGUCGGAAUCCGCUUAGGAGUGUGUAACAACUCACCGGCCGAAUGCAUUGGCCCUGAAAAUGGAUGGCGCUUAAGCGUGCUACCUAUACCUCGCCGUCAGGGUUGACAUGAUGCCCUGACGAGUAGGCAGGCGUGGAGGUCCGUGACGAAGC
RNAcentral lists this ribosomal RNA (1352 nucleotides) under Capronia sp. WUC 26. RNAcentral's name for it is "LSU rRNA". It matches the Rfam family "Eukaryotic large subunit ribosomal RNA", at positions 40 to 1409 of the family's 3401-position model. The record is from RNAcentral. Lineage: Eukaryota; Fungi; Ascomycota; Eurotiomycetes; Chaetothyriales; Herpotrichiellaceae.